RNAcentral lists this ribosomal RNA (480 nucleotides) under uncultured bacterium. RNAcentral's name for it is "bacterial SSU rRNA". It matches the Rfam family "Bacterial small subunit ribosomal RNA", at positions 29 to 521 of the family's 1533-position model. The record is from RNAcentral.
AAUGAACGUUGGCGGCAUGGAUUAGGCAUGCAAGUCGAGCGAGAAGUGUAGCAAUACACGGAAAGCGGCGGAAGGGAGAGUAAUACGUGGGAAUCUGCCCUUAGACCUGGGAUAGCAGCGGGAAACUGCUGGUAAUACCAGAUAAUGUCUAUGGACCAAAGGUGUGAUUCCGUCUAGGGAUGAGUCCCACGUCCUAUUAGCUAGUUGGUAGGGUAAUGGCCUACCAAGGCGAUGAUGGGUAGCGGGUGUGAGAGCAUGACCCGCCUCACUGGGACUGAGACACUGCCCAGACACCUACGGGUGGCUGCAGUCGAGAAUCUUCGGCAAUGGGCGCAAGCCUGACCGAGCGAUGCCGCGUGCGGGAUGAAGGCCUUCGGUUGUAAACCGCUGUCGAGGGGGAGCAACUUCCAUAGAGUUAUCUUUAUGGAUUGAGUGAUCCCUGGAGGAAGGACGGGCUAAGUUCGUGCCAGCAGCCGCGGU